This 330-nucleotide long non-coding RNA is filed under the name Eucalyptus grandis. Its description in RNAcentral is "long non-coding RNA (EGRA_LNC005726)". The record is from RNAcentral. Lineage: Eukaryota; Viridiplantae; Streptophyta; Magnoliopsida; Myrtales; Myrtaceae.
AGGGAGAGAGAGAGACAGUCAGGGCUUGAAAGCUGGAGGAGAGAGAAAGAGGGUAUUAGCUGGACGAGAGUUAAACGAGAGAGUGAUGCAUGUGGGGAUGCGUGCGCCUUGUUUCAUUUCAUUUCAUUUCAGAGAGAGACAGAGGGACGGUGAUUCUUGGGUUUUCUUGGAGAUGAAACGGAGGUGCUUUCUUUAAUCUUUCUCCCCUCCUCCCUUUUUAACAUAGAGGACAGUAACGGUGGCGGAUGAAGAAGGAGGAGGAGGAGGAGGAGGAGGAGAAGAGUCGUUCGGGGUCGGACGGGGUUUACAAGGUCAAAAGACGCGCUUCUG